This 221-nucleotide ribosomal RNA is filed under the name uncultured Sphingomonadales bacterium. RNAcentral describes it as "partial 16S ribosomal RNA". It matches the Rfam family "Bacterial small subunit ribosomal RNA", at positions 96 to 334 of the family's 1533-position model. The record is from RNAcentral. Lineage: Bacteria; Pseudomonadati; Pseudomonadota; Alphaproteobacteria; Sphingomonadales.
UGGCGCACGGGUGCGUAACGCGUGGGAAUCUGCCCCUUGGUUCGGAAUAACAGUUAGAAAUGACUGCUAAUACCGGAUGAUGACGUAAGUCCAAAGAUUUAUCGCCGAGGGAUGAGCCCGCGUAGGAUUAGCUAGUUGGUGUGGUAAGAGCGCACCAAGGCGACGAUCCUUAGCUGGUCUGAGAGGAUGAUCAGCCACACUGGGACUGAGACACGGCCCAG